Molecule: long non-coding RNA, 833 nt
Organism: Sphaerodactylus townsendi
Lineage: Eukaryota; Metazoa; Chordata; Lepidosauria; Squamata; Sphaerodactylidae
Exons: 2
Source: RefSeq, a predicted model, not a curated record
GAUUGCAAUUCUUCCUUUCCCGCUAGCAGUGUAGAUUCUCUGUUGUCAAGAACAGUGUGCUUACUUUAUUUGGGUCAUCCUCACUAUGGUCCUCAUGAGUGUGUUUUGUUCUGCUCCAGAGAAUCAUUCCUAGCCCCCACCUCCCAAGAACAGGACUUACUUCAGAAGAGUCAGGAAAAAUUGCAGGAACUACCCAUUUGGAACCAGGCACUUUAAACUCACUGUAUUUGUGGCGCCUCCAAACAUGUUAUUGGCCCUGCAUCCCUUAUAACAGCUGUUUUUCAGCUGGUCUCAGUCCUCAUGGCAGUCAGUUGGUGGUGGUGCCUGGUACCUUUUCUCAAAAUUCCAAAACUUCACAGUCUCAACAAGAUUAAGGAGUCCUGGUCUAAAGUCUGCCUGCCAUGAACAUGUUACAACACAGAAGAUGCUAGAUUCCUUCACCCUAAUUAAGCAGCUGGUAAGGACUAUAUAAAAGAAGCCAUGGUCCUCAGUCAGCAAGGCUGUUAACUAAAGGACAUUAAUUCAUAAGGUUGCUUAUAUGUUAAUUCAUAGGAUUGCUACGCAAGUCAGAAGCGAUUUGAUGGUAUUUAACACAAGAAGGUGCUACCCAGCAAAAUGUUACCAUCCAACAGGGACAUCUGGGGAGGUCGCUCUCUCUCAGCUCUGUCCGUGUGGCGUAUGGGAGCUUAGGGUUUCAUGCCCCAUGAUGUAGAGUCCCAUUCCACGCUGUUGGAGAGCAAGUCGGGCCCACGGGUCUGCAGCCUGCAUAUUCCUACUGCUUCUCUGAGUCUUUGGACGGUGACUGAGGAGAUAAACCAUGCAGGAGACACUGG